This 456-nucleotide ribosomal RNA is filed under the name uncultured bacterium. Its description in RNAcentral is "bacterial SSU rRNA". It matches the Rfam family "Bacterial small subunit ribosomal RNA", at positions 34 to 507 of the family's 1533-position model. The record is from RNAcentral.
CGCUGGCGGCGUGCUUAACACAUGCAAGUCGAACGGUAAGGCCCUUCGGGGUACACGAGUGGCGAACGGGUGAGUAACACGUGGGUGAUCUGCCCUGCACUUUGGGAUAAGCCUGGGAAACUGGGUCUAAUACCGAAUAUGACCAUGGACUUCACGGUUUGUGGUGGAAAGCUUUUGCGGUGUGGGAUGGGCCCGCGGCCUAUCAGCUUGUUGGUGGGGUAAUGGCCUACCAAGGCGACGACGGGUAGCCGGCCUGAGAGGGUGACCGGCCACACUGGGACUGAGAUACGGCCCAGACUCCUACGGGAGACAGCAGUGGGGAAUAUUGCACAAUGGGCGCAAGCCUGAUGCAGCGACGCCGCGUGGGGGAUGACGGCCUUCGGGUUGUAAACCUCUUUCACCAGGGACGAAGCGAGAGUGACGGUACCUGGAGAAGAAGGACCGGCCAACUACGUG